UACGUAGGGUGCAAGCGUUAAUCGGAAUUACUGGGCGUAAAGCGUGCGCAGGCGGUUUUGUAAGACAGUUGUGAAAUCCCCGGGCUCAACCUGGGAACUGCAUCUGUGACUGCAUAGCUAGAGUACGGUAGAGGGGGAUGGAAUUCCGCGUGUAGCAGUGAAAUGCGUAGAUAUGCGGAGGAACACCGAUGGCGAAGGCAAUCCCCUGGGCCUGUACUGACGCUCAUGCACGAAAGCGUGGGGAGCAAACAGG
RNAcentral lists this ribosomal RNA (253 nucleotides) under uncultured bacterium. RNAcentral's name for it is "partial 16S ribosomal RNA". It matches the Rfam family "Bacterial small subunit ribosomal RNA", at positions 524 to 776 of the family's 1533-position model. The record is from RNAcentral.